RNAcentral lists this long non-coding RNA (468 nucleotides) under Malus domestica (apple). Its description in RNAcentral is "long non-coding RNA (MDOM_LNC015450)". Lineage: Eukaryota; Viridiplantae; Streptophyta; Magnoliopsida; Rosales; Rosaceae. The record is from RNAcentral.
UGUUUUCUUUCUUUUGUUUCUAAUGUUUAAAUUCAUUUCCUUUCGUUUUGUUGUAAAUAUGAGUAGCUAAACCCCUCUUGGCUAGGGGUGAUUUCAAAGCCAUGAUUAUGUGUGCAAUAUAAUUUGAUAAAUUCCAGUUAUGAACUCUUGAAUCGUGAAUGUAAUUGGCUUAACUAUUUGAUUGAUAACUUAUUUGUAUUUGUUAAUUAAGGGUCGACACUUAAUUGGCAUGCAUAAAUCCAUUGCUAGAAUAUAAAGAAGUUUCACAUAAUCGUUACAAACUUACAUUCACAUGUAGUGAAGUUCACUUAUAAACGAUCGCGUUAAGUUCAAUUCCUAGCAUGAGUGACAUGCUGUCAUAGUUGCAAGUGCUUUGACAAUGCUUAUGAUUUUCAGUAAACGUAAUGAUCUUUGAUUGUAUCUCUAUUAUGAUGUCAUGUAGGGAACUUUAGAAGAAUGUUUUGGGUU